This 466-nucleotide ribosomal RNA is filed under the name Microbacterium oxydans. RNAcentral describes it as "bacterial SSU rRNA". It matches the Rfam family "Bacterial small subunit ribosomal RNA", at positions 8 to 489 of the family's 1533-position model. The record is from RNAcentral. Lineage: Bacteria; Bacillati; Actinomycetota; Actinomycetes; Micrococcales; Microbacteriaceae.
AGAGUUUGAUCCUGGCUCAGAACGCUGGCGGCGUGCUUAACACAUGCAAGUCGAACGGUGAACACGGAGCUUGCUCUGUGGGAUCAGUGGCGAACGGGUGAGUAACACGUGAGCAACCUGCCCCUGACUCUGGGAUAAGCGCUGGAAACGGCGUCUAAUACUGGAUAUGUGACGUGACCGCAUGGUCUGCGUUUGGAAAGAUUUUUCGGUUGGGGAUGGGCUCGCGGCCUAUCAGCUUGUUGGUGAGGUAAUGGCUCACCAAGGCGUCGACGGGUAGCCGGCCUGAGAGGGUGACCGGCCACACUGGGACUGAGACACGGCCCAGACUCCUACGGGAGGCAGCAGUGGGGAAUAUUGCACAAUGGGCGAAAGCCUGAUGCAGCAACGCCGCGUGAGGGAUGACGGCCUUCGGGUUGUAAACCUCUUUUAGCAGGGAAGAAGCGAAAGUGACGGACCUGCAGAAAAA